AGCGAACGCUGGCGGCAGGCCUAACACAUGCCAGUCGAACGAACCUUUCGGGGUUAGUGGCGGACGGGUGAGUAACACGUGGGAACGUGCCUUUAGGUUCGGAAUAACUCAGGGAAACUUGUGCUAAUACCGAAUGUGCCCUUCGGGGGAAAGAUUUAUCGCCUUUAGAGCGGCCCGCGUCUGAUUAGCUAGUUGGUUGAGGUAAUGGCUUACCAAGGCGACGAUCAGUAGCUGGUCUGAGAGGAUGAUCAGCCACAUUGGGACUGAGACACGGCCCAAACUCCUACGGGAGGCAGCAGUGGGGAAUCUUGCGCAAUGGGCGAAAGCCUGACGCAGCCAUGCCGCGUGAAUGAUGAAGGUCUUAGGAUUGUAAAAUUCUUUCACCGGGGACGAUAAUGACGGUACCCGGAGAAGAAGCCCCGGCUAACUUCGUG
This 434-nucleotide ribosomal RNA is filed under the name uncultured bacterium. Its description in RNAcentral is "partial 16S ribosomal RNA". It matches the Rfam family "Bacterial small subunit ribosomal RNA", at positions 29 to 507 of the family's 1533-position model. The record is from RNAcentral.